UUUCCUACGGGACGCAGCAGUGGGGAAUAUUGGGCAAUGGACGCAAGUCUGACCCAGCAACGCCGCGUGAAGGAAGAAGGCUUUCGGGUUGUAAACUUCUUUUAAGGGGGAAGAGCAGAAGACGGUACCCCUUGAAUAAGCCACGGCUAACUGCGUGCCAGCAGCCGCGGUAAUACGUAGGUGGCAAGCGUUGUCCGGAUUUACUGGGUGUAAAGGGAGUGCAGCCGGAGAGACAAGUCAGAUGUGAAAUCCACGGGCUCAACCCGUGAACUGCAUAUGAAACUGUUUCCCGUGAGUGACGGAGA
This 305-nucleotide ribosomal RNA is filed under the name uncultured bacterium. Its description in RNAcentral is "bacterial SSU rRNA". It matches the Rfam family "Bacterial small subunit ribosomal RNA", at positions 335 to 655 of the family's 1533-position model. The record is from RNAcentral.